RNAcentral lists this ribosomal RNA (793 nucleotides) under Agrococcus sp. 1-14. Its description in RNAcentral is "bacterial SSU rRNA". It matches the Rfam family "Bacterial small subunit ribosomal RNA", at positions 56 to 859 of the family's 1533-position model. Lineage: Bacteria; Bacillati; Actinomycetota; Actinomycetes; Micrococcales; Microbacteriaceae. The record is from RNAcentral. RNAcentral also lists the same sequence under 1 other name.
UGCAGUCGAACGAUGAAGGAGGAGCUUGCUCCUGCGGAUUAGUGGCGAACGGGUGAGUAAUACGUGAGCAAUGUGCCCUUGACUCUGGGAUAAGCGCUGGAAACGGCGUCUAAUACCGGAUACGACCCUCGGAGGCAUCUCCUGAUGGUGGAAAGAACUUCGGUCAAGGAUCAGCUCACGGCCUAUCAGCUAGUUGGUGAGGUAACGGCUCACCAAGGCGACGACGGGUAGCCGGCCUGAGAGGGUGACCGGCCACACUGGGACUGAGACACGGCCCAGACUCCUACGGGAGGCAGCAGUGGGGAAUAUUGCACAAUGGGCGCAAGCCUGAUGCAGCAACGCCGCGUGAGGGACGAAGGCCUUCGGGUUGUAAACCUCUUUUAGCAGGGAAGAAGCGAAAGUGACGGUACCUGCAGAAAAAGCACCGGCUAACUACGUGCCAGCAGCCGCGGUAAUACGUAGGGUGCAAGCGUUGUCCGGAAUUAUUGGGCGUAAAGAGCUCGUAGGCGGUUUGUCGCGUCUGCUGUGAAAACCCGAGGCUCAACCUCGGGCUUGCAGUGGGUACGGGCAGACUAGAGUGCGGUAGGGGAGAUUGGAAUUCCUGGUGUAGCGGUGGAAUGCGCAGAUAUCAGGAGGAACACCGAUGGCGAAGGCAGAUCUCUGGGCCGUAACUGACGCUGAGGAGCGAAAGCAUGGGGAGCAAACAGGCUUAGAUACCCUGGUAGUCCAUGCCGUAAACGUUGGGAACUAGAUGUGGGGACCAUUCCACGGUCUCCGUGUCGUAGCUAACGCA